This 596-nucleotide ribosomal RNA is filed under the name uncultured bacterium. RNAcentral's name for it is "bacterial SSU rRNA". It matches the Rfam family "Bacterial small subunit ribosomal RNA", at positions 35 to 623 of the family's 1533-position model. The record is from RNAcentral.
GCUGGCGGCAUGCUUAAACAUGCAAGUCGAACGGCAGCAGCAGGAGCUUGCUUCUGGCUGGCGAGUGGCGGACGGGUGAGUAAUGCGUGGGAAUUUGCCCAGUAGUGGGGGACAACCCGGGGAAACUCGGGCUAAUACCGCAUAAUCCCUACGGGGGAAAGGGGGGGAUCUUCGGACCUCUCGCUAUUGGAUGAGCCCACGUCCGAUUAGCUUGUUGGCAGGGUAAAGGCCUACCAAGGCGACGAUCGGUAGCUGGUCUGAGAGGACGACCAGCCACACUGGGACUGAGACACGGCCCAGACUCCUACGGGAGGCAGCAGUGGGGAAUAUUGGACAAUGGGCGAAAGCCUGAUCCAGCAAUGCCGCGUGUGUGAAGAAGGCCUGCGGGUUGUAAAGCACUUUCAGUAGGGAAGAAAAGGUCGGGGCUAAUACCCCCGGGUCUUGACGUUACCUACAGAAGAAGCACCGGCUAACUCCGUGCCAGCAGCCGCGGUAAUACGGAGGGUGCGAGCGUUAAUCGGAAUUACUGGGCGUAAAGCGCGCGUAGGCGGCUAAGUAAGUCGGAUGUGAAAGCCCCGGGCUUAACCUGGGAACUG